GGGGUAUGUUACAGAAGGACUGUUAUUUGAUUGCAAAUCAUUAAUUGUGGUUCGAUUCCACCUUGCCCCU
Molecule: transfer RNA, 70 nt
Filed under: Dactylellina haptotyla
Lineage: Eukaryota; Fungi; Ascomycota; Orbiliomycetes; Orbiliales; Orbiliaceae
Description: tRNA-Cys
Rfam family: tRNA
About the family: Transfer RNA (tRNA) molecules are approximately 80 nucleotides in length. Their secondary structure includes four short double-helical elements and three loops (D, anti-codon, and T loops).
Source: RNAcentral